RNAcentral lists this ribosomal RNA (626 nucleotides) under uncultured Gammaproteobacteria bacterium. RNAcentral describes it as "bacterial SSU rRNA". It matches the Rfam family "Bacterial small subunit ribosomal RNA", at positions 8 to 620 of the family's 1533-position model. The record is from RNAcentral. Lineage: Bacteria; Pseudomonadati; Pseudomonadota; Gammaproteobacteria.
AGGGUUUGAAUCAUGGGCUCAGAUUGAACGCUGGCGGCAUGCCUAACACAUGCAAGUCGAACGGAAACGAUUAAGAGCUUGCUCUUAAGGCGUCGAGUGGCGGACGGGUGAGUAAUACUUAGGAAUCUACCCAGUAGCGGGGGACAACUCGAGGAAACUCGAGCUAAUACCGCAUACGCCCUACGGGGGAAAGCAGGGGAUCUUCGGACCUUGCACUAUUGGAUGAGCCUAAGUCGGAUUAGCUUGUUGGUGAGGUAAAGGCUCACCAAGGCGACGAUCCGUAGCUGGUCUGAGAGGACGAUCAGCCACACUGGGACUGAGACACGGCCCAGACUCCUACGGGAGGCAGCAGUGGGGAAUAUUGGACAAUGGGGGCAACCCUGAUCCAGCAAUGCCGCGUGUGUGAAGAAGGCCUGCGGGUUGUAAAGCACUUUCAGUAGAGAAGAAAAGCCUACGGUUAAUACCCGUGAGUCUUGACGUUACCUACNGAANAAGCUCCGGCUAACUCCGUGCCAGCAGCCGCGGUAAUACGGAGGGAGCGAGCGUUAAUCGGAAUUACUGGGCGUAAAGCGCGCGUAGGCGGCUUUGUAAGUCGGAUGUGAAAGCCCCUGGGCUCAACCUGGGAA